UUUGUAAAGAGCUGGUUUGUCGCGUCUGCCGUGAAAGUCCGGGGCUUAACCCCGGAUCUGCGGUGGGUACGGGCAGACUAGAGUGCAGUAGGGGAGACUGGAAUUCCUGGUGUAGCGGUGAAAUGCGCAGAUAUCAGGAGGAACACCGAUGGCGAAGGCAGGUCUCUGGGCUGUACUGACGCUGAGGAGCGAAAGCAUGGGGAGCGAACAGGAUUAGAUACCCUGGUAGUCCAUGCCGUAAACGUGUGUGGGGGACAUUCCACGUUUUCCGCGCCGUAGCUAACCCCCGCCUGGGGAGUACGGCCGCAAGGCUAAAACUCAAAGGAAUUGACGGGGGCCCCCACAAAUUCGAUGCAACGCGAAGAACCUUACCAAGGCUUGACAUCUUGGCCAAUGAUGCAGAGAUGUGUCAGCCACUUGUGGCCGGUUUACAUGGUGCAUGGUUGUGGUCAGCUCGUGUCGUGAGAUGUUGGGUUAAGUCCCGCAACCAGCGGGUUAUGCCGGGGACUCAUGGGAGACUGCCGGGGUCAACUCGGAGGAAGGUGGGGCCCUUAUGUCUUGGGCUUCAAAUGGCCUACAAAUU
Molecule: ribosomal RNA, 583 nt
Filed under: uncultured Arthrobacter sp.
Lineage: Bacteria; Bacillati; Actinomycetota; Actinomycetes; Micrococcales; Micrococcaceae
Description: bacterial SSU rRNA
Rfam family: Bacterial small subunit ribosomal RNA
Source: RNAcentral